Molecule: transfer RNA, 103 nt
Rfam family: tRNA
About the family: Transfer RNA (tRNA) molecules are approximately 80 nucleotides in length. Their secondary structure includes four short double-helical elements and three loops (D, anti-codon, and T loops).
Source: Rfam
GGCGCUAUAGCCAAGUGGUUACGGCGACAGAUUAGAAUACAUGAGGUGGUAGUGCUUGAUCUGUUCCUCUUUGAGGGCGCAGGUUCGAAUCCUGCUGGCGUCG